RNAcentral lists this unclassified non-coding RNA (398 nucleotides) under soil metagenome. RNAcentral's name for it is "partial contains 5.8S ribosomal RNA, internal transcribed spacer 2, and large subunit ribosomal RNA". The stretch from base 1 to 122 matches the Rfam family "5.8S ribosomal RNA", at positions 35 to 154 of the family's 154-position model. The record is from RNAcentral.
GAUGAAGAACGCAGCGAAAUGCGAUACUUGGUGUGAAUUGCAGAAUCCCGUGAACCAUCGAGUCUUUGAACGCAAGUUGCGCCUCAAGCCAUUAGGUUGAGGGCACGUCUGCCUGGGCGUCACAUAUCGUUGCCUGAUGCCAGUUUCCUCGUGAUGGGUGACUGUGCAGGGCGAAUGAUGGCUUCCCGUGAGCAUUGUUGCCUCAUGGUUGGUUGAAAAUUGAGUCCUUGGUAGGGAGCGCCGUGAUAGAUGGUGGUUGAGUGACGAACGAGACCCAAUCAUGUGAGACCCCUACCGAAUUUGGCCUUCAUGACCCACAUGCGUCUUUGGAACGCUCAUGACGAGACCUCAGGUCAGGCGGGGCUACCCGCUGAGUUUAAGCAUAUCAAUAAGGAGGA